AGACCCAUUCCUUUCAUUCUUUUUCUCUUUUUCUUCACUUCUUCUUCCUCCUCUCCGUCCGGUCGCCCAGAUCUUGCGCCCAGCCCACAUCAAAUCAGCCCAAAACUCCUCCAAAGCUGAGAUUUUCUCUCAUUCCUCUUCCAUUUGUGGUAUUUUUUUAUUAUUUUUUUUCUUGCUGUUCAUAAAAUCCAUGCUUUUCCUCUCUUAAUAUUUUUU
This 216-nucleotide long non-coding RNA is filed under the name Ananas comosus (pineapple). RNAcentral's name for it is "long non-coding RNA (ACOM_LNC038542)". Lineage: Eukaryota; Viridiplantae; Streptophyta; Magnoliopsida; Poales; Bromeliaceae. The record is from RNAcentral.